GCUAGCCUGGCUAAGGAUACUACCACACAGACCUCCACUGCCAAGCCUCCUACUCACCAACCCCAGAUCCAUCGCACACAAAAUGGAUGAGCAUAGCAACGAACAACUACACACAGAACUGCUGCAUGAUGAUUAUCACCGAAACCUGGCUGAACCCCCUCUACCCGGAUGCCGAGUCCGAGCUAGCUACCAAGGCAAGGUAAAAAUCUCACCUGUCCUUCUGGGUGGAGCUGGAGGUCCACUGUGUCUGACAGGAAGAGGACAGCCUGUUGUAACUUCCCUCUGAUGAGCCACCUGUAAAGUCUCAGUGAAAUGUGUUAUCACCGCCCAGGACGCCAACAGGAGGAAAAAGGAAAAAGUCAUGUAACCAUGAAGUGAAAGCUGAUGCAAACAAGGACAAGACACGAUGACAUUCAUUCAAAUGUGUCACUAUUCAGACAAUAGUAAUAGUGUAGCUGUGUUAUCACUAGCAAUUAUAUUAGAAAAAAUAACCAGCUACGAUAGCUACUAUAAUUUAGAAUUUUUAUACUUGAGAAGAGAGAGAGCCAUUAAGAUGUGCUGAGUAUUUCUUUCCAUUUUUAGUUAAGCUGACCAAAUAUUGUAUAUUCUUAAACACAAUAUUCCAUUGAUCGAUAUUCAACACUUUCUGCUCUUCUCUUUUCCAUACUAGUUUAAGUGCAUUCACACAUCACAGACUGGACCUCCAUUUUUUUUCACGUUUGUUUUCAACAUGUGAAUACACAGGGAACUCCUCCAACCACAAAACAUUUUAUCUGCAUGAAUAGUUGACAACAGAUAACUCAUAUUAAAGCAGGAAGAAGGCUCACAUGAGACCGUAGAGCUGUUUUACCCCUCCACGAAUACUUACUUACUUACUGUAGUGAGAUAUUACCUAUACACAAUAAUAUCCGUGUUACCAAAUUGGCUAGAGAGUGAAAACUAUAUGAGCAAACAUGUUAUGAUCAGACGUGUUCUCACUGUGAAAGAAAAUAGGUCUGUUUUUCUGUGACUCUCUACAAGGAGAUCAACACAUUUGGGAACAUUUGCACCUGACAAAAUAAUCAAACUAUUCAAAAAGAUCACCACCAAAAUUAAACGUUGAAAUAAACAAACUCCUCUCAGUCUCAGACAGUCUUUUUUGUUAUCAGAUAAAUACAUUUUUCCCUGCCUGAAACUUUGCAGACUGAACUCCAACACCAUCUCUCAGUGAACAACAGCACCAUCCAAACUACUGCAUGGUCAUGUUCACUGAAAAAAGAGUCUGAUAUACAUUAUGGGAAAGUGAUAGAAAUAUCACUGGCAAGAAAAGUAUCUAUAUUUCAAAUAGUUCAAAUCUAACAACUACAAACUAAAUAUGAAGCUUGAGAUGUUUUAUGUAACUAUGUACAAGUGACACUAUUCGGUCUACCUGAAACAAAUAAUGCAUGUACAGUAUGUGCAACAUAUGUGCUUGCUAGCUUUCCAAUAUAUUUUAAUUUGAUACAUUUCAGAUUAAAAAAUCUCUUGUAUCAACUGAUUCAAUAAUGUUUUGAAAUCCUAGUAAAUUAAACUAAAACUUAAAACACUGAAAAAUGUUUGAUUGAAAUCUAAUGACUUCAACUUAGUCAACUAAGAAACACAUUUUAUGGAGGACCACUCAGCAAAGAACAAACAUAAAAGAAAGUUUAACAAACUUGUUGACCUUAAUUCUAUAGUAAAGCACAACGCUGAUACCAGCAGGUGUUUUUACUUUCAGAUUAUAUUCAAACACCAUGAAUCGUCUGGGUUAUUUUUACUGUUUGCCUUCACACUCCACACAAUCACAACUUUUAACAGUGUAGCUGCCAUCACAUCUUUCCCCCAUUCAGAACUCCCUAAGAAAACAUGCUGAAAUAAAAGUUAACUACAUGGGAGGUUUACAGUUGACUCAACUCUAACAUUAACAACACCUGUUCACUUCCUUCUCACUCCACCCAAAAUUAUCAGAAUGUAAACCAAAAUAUUACAAAAAUAAAACAUUUCUUUACCAUUGUCAUGAUUUGGGGUCGACUCUCGCAGCUCAAGUCAUGGGGAAAUGUCUUUGUUUCGGUCUUUGGAUGCAAAUGGUUUUGAAGAUUGAA
Long non-coding RNA from Perca fluviatilis (European perch), 2099 nucleotides. RefSeq lists it as uncharacterized. Lineage: Eukaryota; Metazoa; Chordata; Actinopteri; Perciformes; Percidae. The record is from RefSeq and is a predicted model, not a curated record. The transcript has 3 exons.